GACGAACGCUGGCGGCGUGCUUAACACAUGCAAGUCGAACGGAAAGGCCCUGCUUUUGUGGGGUUCUCGAGUGGCGAACGGGUGAGUAACACGUGAGUAACCUGCCCUUGACUUUGGGAUAACUUCAGGAAGCUGGGGCUAAUACCGGAUAGGAGCUCCUGCUGCAUGGUGGGGGUUGGAAAGUUUCGGCGGUUGGGGAUGGACUCGCGGCUUAUCAGCUUGUUUGUGGGGUAGUGGCUUACCAAGGCUUUGACGGGUAGCCGGCCUGAGAGGGUGACCGGCCACAUUGGGACUGAGAUACGGCGCAGACUCCUACGGGAGGCAGCAGUGGGGAAUAUUGCACAAUGGGCGGAAGCCUGAUGCAGCAACGCCGCGUGCGGGAUGACGGCCUUCGGGUUGUAAACCGCUUUCGCCUGUGACGAAGCGUGAGUGACGGUAAUGGGUAAAGAAGCACCGGCUAACUACGUG
This 468-nucleotide ribosomal RNA is filed under the name uncultured bacterium. RNAcentral's name for it is "partial 16S ribosomal RNA". It matches the Rfam family "Bacterial small subunit ribosomal RNA", at positions 28 to 507 of the family's 1533-position model. The record is from RNAcentral.